GGAUUAUGGCUCAGUGGCAGAGCACUUGCUUUGCAUGUAUAAGGUACUGGGUUUGAUCCUCAGCACCA
RNAcentral lists this transfer RNA (68 nucleotides) under Marmota monax (woodchuck). RNAcentral's name for it is "tRNA.Ala". The record is from RNAcentral. Lineage: Eukaryota; Metazoa; Chordata; Mammalia; Rodentia; Sciuridae.